RNAcentral lists this transfer RNA (89 nucleotides) under Levilactobacillus zymae. RNAcentral describes it as "tRNA-Ser(gct)". It matches the Rfam family "tRNA". From Rfam's summary of the family: Transfer RNA (tRNA) molecules are approximately 80 nucleotides in length. Lineage: Bacteria; Bacillati; Bacillota; Bacilli; Lactobacillales; Lactobacillaceae. The record is from RNAcentral.
UGGAGCGGUAAGCAUAAUGGUACUGCAGCGGCUUGCUAAGCCGUUACACGGUAAUCCCGUGAUGCUGGUUCGAAUCCAGCUCGCUCCGU